This 254-nucleotide ribosomal RNA is filed under the name uncultured bacterium. RNAcentral describes it as "partial 16S ribosomal RNA". It matches the Rfam family "Archaeal small subunit ribosomal RNA", at positions 474 to 727 of the family's 1478-position model. The record is from RNAcentral.
UACCGGCAGCACGAGUGAUGGCCAAUCUUAUUGGGCCUAAAGCGUCCGUAGCUCGCCGAGCAAGUCCGUCGGGAAAUCCAGUGGCUCAACCGAUGGGCGUCCAGCGGAAACUGUUUGGCUUGGGACCGGAGGACCCGAGGGGUACGUCCGGGGUAGGAGUGAAAUCCUGUAAUCCUGGACGGACCGCCGAUGGCGAAAGCACCUCGGGAGGACGGAUCCGACGGUAAGGGACGAAAGCUAGGGUCUCGAACCGG